This 88-nucleotide transfer RNA is filed under the name Danio rerio (zebrafish). It matches the Rfam family "tRNA". Rfam says of the family: Transfer RNA (tRNA) molecules are approximately 80 nucleotides in length. The record is from Rfam by way of RNAcentral. Lineage: Eukaryota; Metazoa; Chordata; Actinopteri; Cypriniformes; Danionidae.
CCUUCGAUAGCUCAGUUGGUAGAGCGGAGGACUGUAGCGGUAUUACACUGAUAUCCUUAGGUCGCUGGUUCGAAUCCGGCUCGAAGGA